Danio rerio (zebrafish) is the source of this 1059-nucleotide non-coding RNA. The record is from RefSeq and is a predicted model, not a curated record. NCBI's taxonomy places the organism in Eukaryota, Metazoa, Chordata, Actinopteri, Cypriniformes, Danionidae.
UUGCAUGCAUAUCAGACUGUUGUUGAAGUCCCCCAAAACCAAAAUAUAACACUUUUUAGUCUAUAAAAAAAUUGGGGCGGUCACUGGAUCGAGCCCGGCUGGGUCAGUUGCCAUUUCUAUGUGGAGUUUGCAUGUUGACCCUCCAGGAGCUCUGGGGUGUCCACCACAAGUCCAAAGACUUGCCCUAUAGGUGAGGUAAGCCAAAUCAUCCAUAGUGUAUGCAUGUAUGUACUGAUCCUCCAGGUUGGGCGUUGAGUGUUGAGCUAACGACCCACCUUGUAAAAAUUAGAUGUUACGAAACACCAACAUGAUAAGGGCUAAAUAUCAACUUCGAUUUAAAACAGCCCUGGGAGUAAGUAAAUAAGUAGUAAAUACAUCUACUAAUGAAGCCUUGUUGUAAAGUGUGACCUAUUUUUUUUUAAAGACUCCCAGUGGCACAAAAAUCAAAAAUGCAAAUUGAUUUUAUGUCAAAAACCCUACAUCUAUAUGACAUCAACAUUUUGAAGCCUCGUUAACAACUAAAAUAACAACACAAAACAUACUACAUUAUAAGAAAAGUUUUAUUUUCUUAAAGCUUCCAAAUUUGUACACUGGAUUUUGUAUGCCUACAAUGACUGUAAACUUCCUUAUCAAACAUAUUUGACCCCAAUAAUAGAUGUCAAUUUAACGUCAUUUUGACAUCAAGGUGCCCGCUUGGCAAUUAAAGACAUAGCUCAUUCAAAAAUAAAAAAUUAACGCCCAUUCACUCUCCCUCAUGUCAUUUUACCCAUUAACCAACAUUCCUCAAAAUAUCUUAUUUCAACAAAAGAAAUCCAAAUAGGUUUUGAAAAAGAGUGAGUAAAUUAUUUCAUUUUGGUUGAACUAUCAAUUUAAAGCAUAAAGAAGAAAAGAAAGUGGCAUUGAAAGUAUGGGUUUCUAUAUUUAUCUGUAAACACACAUUUGCACUUUGAUUUAUGUUUAUAAUAUGAACAAAACAGAAAAACAGCUUUUGAAUGAUGCUAUGUAAUUCUGCAAUGAAUUCAAAAUAAAAGCAUGAUCAGCAAUGUUCAUUUCUGUGGC